This 83-nucleotide transfer RNA is filed under the name Trametes coccinea BRFM310. Its description in RNAcentral is "Trametes coccinea (strain BRFM310) tRNA". It matches the Rfam family "tRNA". Rfam says of the family: Transfer RNA (tRNA) molecules are approximately 80 nucleotides in length. Their secondary structure includes four short double-helical elements and three loops (D, anti-codon, and T loops). The record is from Rfam by way of RNAcentral. Lineage: Eukaryota; Fungi; Basidiomycota; Agaricomycetes; Polyporales; Polyporaceae.
GGCCCAAUGGUCUAGUCGUAUGAUUCGCGCUUCGGGCACUCCGAGGUUGCGCGAGGUCCCGGGUUCAAUUCCCGGUUGGGCCC